ACAUUUAAAUAAUUCAUUAACAACUAUAUAUAAAAAUAAAAUUAACUUGAUUUUAAAGUGUGACUUCCAUUUAUAGAACAAGAUUCUUUAAUAAUUAAAUACCGCCAAAUAGACUAACUUUGACUAUUCCAUUAGUAACUUAUACAUUUUCAUUAAUUCUUCUAGGGUAUCUAAUCCUAUUGACUACAAAUUAACUAAAAUUGAAAAUUCACUUUCUAAUUAAAAUCUAAAAAUUUCACCUAAAUAUAUUUUAAUUAAAAUUCAAUUUAACUUUCAAUAACCAAACAAUCAUUAAUUUCACCAGCCAUGUAUAAC
Molecule: ribosomal RNA, 315 nt
Filed under: Dactylopius austrinus
Lineage: Eukaryota; Metazoa; Arthropoda; Insecta; Hemiptera; Dactylopiidae
Description: partial small subunit ribosomal RNA
Source: RNAcentral